This 343-nucleotide unclassified non-coding RNA is filed under the name soil metagenome. Its description in RNAcentral is "partial contains 5.8S ribosomal RNA, internal transcribed spacer 2, and large subunit ribosomal RNA". The stretch from base 1 to 120 matches the Rfam family "5.8S ribosomal RNA", at positions 35 to 154 of the family's 154-position model. The record is from RNAcentral.
GAUGAAGAACGUAGCGAAAUGCGAUAAGUAAUGUGAAUUGCAGAAUUCAGUGAAUCAUCGAAUCUUUGAACGCACAUUGCGCCCGCUAGUAUUCUGGCGGGCAUGCCUGUCCGAGCGUCAUUUCAACCCUCAAGCCCCCGGGCUUGGUGUUGGGGAUCGGCGAGCCUCCGCGCCCGCCGUCCCCUAAAUCUAGUGGCGGUCUCGCUGUAGCUUCCUCUGCGUAGUAGCACACCUCGCACUGGGAAACAGCGCGGCCACGCCGUUAAACCCCCAACUUCUGAACGUUUGACCUCGGAUAAGGUAGGAAUACCCGCUGAACUUAAGCAUAUCAAUAAGCGGAGGA